GAUGUUGGCCCUCCAUGAACAGGACAACCAUGAAAAAUUAAUCAUUGUAAUGGUGACCAAUUUUACAAUAUUAAUGGUAAUGCUAACGAGUAUAAAUAAAUGCAUUUCUGAUUUAAUGGAAUACUAAUUGCUUACAAGACUGCUUUAUAGUCUACCACCAAGGGCCAAGUCUCCAUACUUCAACAGUUUACACUCCCAGAGUGGCCACACACUGGCUAAAAAACGAAAUUGCAAAAGCAGUCUGACAUCUGAAAAAAAGUGUCAAACACACACAAAAAAGUCCCCCAGAUGCUUCAGGCACACUGCUGGGCCACAGUCAGAGCUGAAUUCCUCUGCUGAAGGGGACUGAGACCUACAGCCGGCUUACAGACAGCACAGAAAGAAAGAGACAAACGGACAGCUUUGCCAAACAGAUGAGAGAUGGCCAUGAUGGAAAAGUCCAAGGGAGAGAAAUAAGACAGGUCACUUUGGAGCUCCCGAGUGGGGAGACAGAAGAAACAGAGAGAGACUACUUCUGAAGUUGUUGACCCAAUGACACCUGCUUCCACUUUUUAUCGCAAUAUAAUUGCGCUGUCAAAUAAUUUCCCUGAUGUGAUGUGUGAAUGCUUAAUUACAAAAAUAUAUAA
This is a long non-coding RNA of Onychostoma macrolepis, 626 nucleotides long. RefSeq lists it as uncharacterized. The record is from RefSeq and is a predicted model, not a curated record. NCBI's taxonomy places the organism in Eukaryota, Metazoa, Chordata, Actinopteri, Cypriniformes, Cyprinidae. The transcript has 5 exons.